AUAUCUGUCUCAGCGCUAGCUCUUGCACUCAGGCAAGAAGACGAGGAAGAGGUCGUCGAACAGUCAGCGGAUGCCUCUCGGCAAGAUCUGCCGAUACGAACUGUAAAAGCCCUUCGGUAACGGAGGGGACAAAGCAGACUCGAGAUCAACAG
RNAcentral lists this non-coding RNA (152 nucleotides) under Megasphaera vaginalis (ex Srinivasan et al. 2021). RNAcentral describes it as "Megasphaera sp. BV3C16-1 glmS glucosamine-6-phosphate activated ribozyme aptamer". It matches the Rfam family "glmS glucosamine-6-phosphate activated ribozyme aptamer". Rfam says of the family: This entry contains a glucosamine-6-phosphate activated ribozyme that is found in the mRNA for GlmS. GlmS is an enzyme that uses fructose-6-phosphate and glutamine to generate glucosamine-6-phosphate. RNAcentral also lists the same sequence under 1 other name. Lineage: Bacteria; Bacillati; Bacillota; Negativicutes; Veillonellales; Veillonellaceae. The record is from Rfam by way of RNAcentral.